CACGGACCACGAGAAGGACUCGCGCGAAAGCAGCGAGUCCGCGCGAGGGGUCCGAGCUCGAAGUCGAAAGACUGCGAGUGCACGGACGCCCGCGGGAAUCGCUGGCUAGGACAAACUUCACGUCCCUCCGGGGCUGAGCUAACUAGUCAGCAUCCUCGUCACAUGACUUCGACCCCGAGAGGGGCGAGGCAUGAAUGACACCCAAAAGUCCCGGCUAGACCGGGCAAGCAAGAAUCAAACUGGAGAGUUUGAUCCUGGCUCAGAGCGAACGUUUGCGGCGGGCUUAACACAUGCAAGUCGAACGAGAAUCCCUUCGGGGAGGAAAGUGGCGCACGGGUGCGUAACACGUGGAUGACCUACCCCUUGGUUCGGGACAACAGCGGGAAACUGCUGCUAAUACCGGAUGUGUCGUAGCAAUACGAGAAAGGCCCGCAAGGGUCGCCAGAGGACGGGU
Molecule: ribosomal RNA, 454 nt
Filed under: uncultured bacterium
Lineage: Bacteria
Description: partial 16S ribosomal RNA
Rfam family: Bacterial small subunit ribosomal RNA (bases 237-454)
Source: RNAcentral